Long non-coding RNA from Aegilops tauschii subsp. strangulata, 790 nucleotides. RefSeq lists it as uncharacterized. The record is from RefSeq and is a predicted model, not a curated record. NCBI's taxonomy places the organism in Eukaryota, Viridiplantae, Streptophyta, Magnoliopsida, Poales, Poaceae.
CCCAUCUCCUCCCACUCUCUCCAUCCUGACAGCUGGGCCAUCCAGUAUCGACGUAGGAGGCAGCACCAAGCGUAAUGCUGGGUGGCGCGCCCGCGUGAUCGAGCGUACCCGAGCGGCCGCUCGUCCACCGUCCAUCUCAUCCUCGAUCACGCCGCGUGGAUGGAUAGGUCUGACCACGGCGGAGGCAGACAAAGCUCCAAAACGGACACCAACCAUUCGUUCUUGUCUGUUCCCCUUUCCUCACCACUCCAGGUCCAGGGGGCAUCGUCGGCGAGCGCCCGACGACGGCGAGGAAGGCGAGGGGAGCCCGUCCCGGUGACAGCGACCACCAUGCAGGGGGAGGCGAGCACCACCAGUUUUGAUCGAGCGGCUCGCGAGCGCGAUGAAAGAAGUGGAGGGUGAAGGAAGGAGAACCCGCCGGCGACGCGAAGGGGAAGCGGACAACGGGGCGCGGCGAACCGCUACAUCUCCGUGGAAAAGAAGAGGCCUGGUGCAAGACAAUAGGCAAGAUAAUAUCAAGUUUCAAGAGCACAGCAUCGUCUAUCUAGAAUCCAAAUUCAACAUGGGGAAGGGGAGGAUAACUACAGGUGGAGAGCAGAUUUGUUGGCAAGAUCCAAUUUCUGGUGUAACCUAGUAGUAUCAUGCUUUUGCCCAAGAAAAAAAAAGAAAAAUAAAUGGAGAAUCCUGUGUUGUUUCUGAAGGGAGAAAAAUUGCCUAGUUUCUGGUGGUAUUCUUGCCGGAGUUGUCCCAGAUUUUUGCCUGAUACGCAACAAAGAGUUGUUGACAAAUA